Long non-coding RNA from Trichomycterus rosablanca, 328 nucleotides. RefSeq lists it as uncharacterized. The transcript has 3 exons. NCBI's taxonomy places the organism in Eukaryota, Metazoa, Chordata, Actinopteri, Siluriformes, Trichomycteridae. The record is from RefSeq and is a predicted model, not a curated record.
GAUUUGACCUCGCUGGUAAACAGAUCGAAUACUCUUUCAAUAAACUCAGUGUAAACUGUUUUUACCACGUAUCCAUUAAUUUUACCUCAAAACCACAAAGACGCUUUUUUCCAUCCAUCCAUCCAUCCAGCCAGCCAGCCAGCCAGCCAGCCAGCCAGCCAGCCCUGCUGCAUCAUCUAAUCAUGUCUUAGCUUCAGCUCACAAACAGAUGACCUUACCUUCUCAAAAUGUUCAGCCUAUCUCAUUUCUAUUAAUUUUACUUCAGAACUUUGACCGAAGCCACUACAAAGACGCUUUCUUCUUCUCUGUUCAAAUAAUAAAAUCCUGU